ACUUUGCUAUAAAUAAACCCUGGCAUGAAUACAUUUUCUUUCAGCAAGAGCUGAUCUACUUCACAUUCAGCAGACAGGGAAGUGGGGAACACACUGCAAACCUCAGCCUUCUACUCCAGAGAUGCAAUGAGGUCCAGCUUUGGGUGGCCACGGAGAUUCUGCUCUGCAGCCAGCUGGGCAAGCGAGUGCAGCUGGUGAAAAAAUUCAUCAAAAUUGCGGCUCACUGCAAAGCCCAGAGAAACCUGAAUUCUUUCUUUGCCAUUGUGAUGGGUCUCAACACUGCUUCUGUCAGUCGACUGUCGCAGACCUGGGAGGUGAGCCUUGGAGUCCCAUGGUGAGGGGCACAUAAAAUGGAAAUAAAGUAACUUACAUGGAUUAAAUGAGAUAAGUACUACUAAACUAAAAAUGUUUGAAAGUCAUAUGUCAAGGUGGUAGGGAUCUUUUUGAUCAAAUGGUCUUUAAACGGUUGUAUAAUGUGUCUGAACUAGAUAAAAAUGGUAACGUGCUCCCCAGCUAGAAUUAGUCUUCCCCUCUGUCCUGCCUGAUAGUGCAGUUCUCGUUCCAGGCUGGUCCCCGCAGUCU
RNAcentral lists this small RNA (582 nucleotides) under Pongo abelii (Sumatran orangutan). RNAcentral's name for it is "retained intron". The record is from RNAcentral. Lineage: Eukaryota; Metazoa; Chordata; Mammalia; Primates; Hominidae.